UAAAAAUCGUAAAAGAAACUCCGGUGCGAGACCACAGCCAAAGGCGGGAAGAGGUCCCGGAUGUGCAUUGUCGUUCUUUCUUCGUGACAGAAAUUUCACAGGCAGACAUGGUACGAAUAUGUAAUGAACAGAUUAUGGACGGUCAAUACUUCUCAAGCUUCUGAAUCGUUUGGAUAUGAAAAUUAUCGUGCUGAAGAUAUUUAUACGUGUCUGGGGGAUCCUACCAGACAACUUGUAUAACCAAUCAGAAACCAGUCUGCGAUUCUCCGCCAAUCAACGAUCAAAUUGGCGUGUUGCUUUCUACCACGUCCGUAAUAGGGAUGUCUGAAUCUUAAUUUGCAUACGGCAGCAUAUAUAAACAUGUUAUGGUGGGUCCGGUGAGGCCGGAGUUGCGUCCUUGACUGGUUUGCGUGGGGUGCGGAUCCAUUGUGUACAGGUGUGAGUUGGACUGUCAGGUUGACUGAGGGACGACGGGACGCUAGAUUCUUGGUCGUUUUGUUAGCAGUGUCUUGUGCUAAGGUAUGUGCACACUUUUAGGUGGUGUGGGUGUGUUAAGUAGUUUUAUUAGUUUGAAACGAUGUAGGUAAAGUUUUUUAAUCAAAUUGUUGCUAUGGUAAAAGCGGUAGUGUGAC
Branchiostoma floridae (Florida lancelet) is the source of this 632-nucleotide long non-coding RNA. RefSeq lists it as uncharacterized. The record is from RefSeq and is a predicted model, not a curated record. NCBI's taxonomy places the organism in Eukaryota, Metazoa, Chordata, Leptocardii, Amphioxiformes, Branchiostomatidae. The transcript is spliced from 2 exons.